This 28-nucleotide non-coding RNA is filed under the name Trypanosoma brucei brucei. The record is from RNAcentral. Lineage: Eukaryota; Euglenozoa; Kinetoplastea; Trypanosomatida; Trypanosomatidae.
AACUGGGUAAUCGUGUAUUUGUAUGAUU